AACGAACGCUGGCGGCAUGCCUAACACAUGCAAGUCGAACGAUACCUUCGGGUCUUGUGGCGCACGGGUGCGUAACGCGUGGGAACCUGCCUUUAGGUUCGGAAUAACUCAGAGGAAUUUGAGCUAAUACCGGAUGAUGUCUUCGGACCAAAGAUUUAUCGCCUUUAGAUGGGCCCGCGUUGGAUUAGCUAGUUGGUGGGGUAAAGGCCUACCAAGGCGACGAUCCAUAGCUGGUCUGAGAGGAUGAUCAGCCACACUGGGACUGAGACACGGCCCAGACUCCUACGGGAGGCAGCAGUGGGGAAUAUUGGACAAUGGGCGAAAGCAUGAGCCAGCAAUGCCGCGUGAGUGAUGAAGGCCUUAGGGUUGUAAAGCUCUUUUAACCGAGAUGAUAAUGACAGUAGCGGGAGAAUAAGCGCCGGCUAACUCCGUG
Molecule: ribosomal RNA, 433 nt
Filed under: uncultured bacterium
Lineage: Bacteria
Description: partial 16S ribosomal RNA
Rfam family: Bacterial small subunit ribosomal RNA
Source: RNAcentral